CCUACGGGUGGCAGCAGUCGAGAAUCAUUCACAAUGGGGGAAACCCUGAUGGUGCGACGUCGCGUGGGGGAAUGAAGGUCUUCGGAUUGUAAACCCCUGUCAUGUGGGAGCAAAUUAAAAAGAUAGUACCACAAGAGGAAGAGACGGCUAACUCUGUGCCAGCAGCCGCGGUAAUACAGAGGUCUCAAGCGUUGUUCGGAAUCACUGGGCGUAAAGCGUGCGUAGGCUGUUUCGUAAGUCGUGUGUGAAAGGCGCGGGCUCAACCCGCGGACGGCACAUGAUACUGCGAGACUAGAGUAAGGGAGGGGGAACCGGAAUUCUCGGUGUAGCAGUGAAAUGCGUAGAUAUCGAGAGGAACACUCGUGGCGAAGGCGGGUUCCUGGACAUUAACUGACGCUGAGGCACGAAGGCCAGGGGAGCGAAAGGGAUUAGAUACCCGAGUAGUC
Molecule: ribosomal RNA, 446 nt
Filed under: uncultured bacterium
Lineage: Bacteria
Description: partial 16S ribosomal RNA
Rfam family: Bacterial small subunit ribosomal RNA
Source: RNAcentral